This 262-nucleotide unclassified non-coding RNA is filed under the name uncultured fungus. RNAcentral's name for it is "partial contains 5.8S ribosomal RNA, internal transcribed spacer 2, and large subunit ribosomal RNA". Lineage: Eukaryota; Fungi. The record is from RNAcentral.
AACGCACAUUGCGCCCCUCGGUAUUCCGGGGGGCACGCCUGUCCGAGCGCCAUUACACCCCCCAAGCUCUGCUUGAUGUUGGGCGAGGUCUUCGUUCGCGAAGACCCGCCUGGAACGCGUGGGCGCCACCCGCCGGACCACCAGCGUAGCAAGACGUCAAGUCCCUCGCUGGCGCGCUUCCGUCGGGCAGUCAGCCUUACCCGAUCUCCGGAUCGACCUAAAGUUUGGCCUCGGAUCAGGCGGGGUUACCCGCUGAACUUAA